UAGUUACUAUGAUGUCGGCUCGGCUCACUCAGAGUGCAUGCACUACUCAGGCAAUGCAAAGUCCUCAUGCUUUGUUCUCUGAUUGAGCCGUGCCAAUAUCUUAGUACUCUUU
Molecule: non-coding RNA, 112 nt
Organism: Musa acuminata subsp. malaccensis (wild Malaysian banana)
Lineage: Eukaryota; Viridiplantae; Streptophyta; Magnoliopsida; Zingiberales; Musaceae
Source: Rfam